This is a long non-coding RNA of Diospyros lotus (date-plum), 16536 nucleotides long. RefSeq lists it as uncharacterized. The transcript is spliced from 3 exons. The record is from RefSeq and is a predicted model, not a curated record. Lineage: Eukaryota; Viridiplantae; Streptophyta; Magnoliopsida; Ericales; Ebenaceae.
UAUCGAACUGAUCGACUUUGAUGUUUGACUUAAAGUGGAGCUUUCUUCCUGAUGGAAUCAUAAUUGCUCUUUUUUUCCUGUGUCAAUUGAGAAAAAAAUAAAUUGCCAGUACGUUUGAUAUUUUCUAGAAUAUUAUGAAUUAUUACAGAACGCUGAUUCCCUUUUCCAAUUUGAAUUGCUUGAAUGACUCCAUUUAUGCUUCUAUUUUAAUUAACAUCUCUAUGCCACCUAAAAGAAUUUCUUAUUUUCUUGGUCGUGUACAGAAAAAACAUUUUUGAUCCCUUGGUUGUUAUGAAAUAUGAAAAUGGUUGAAGUGGAUCUAGGUAACAAAGAAUUUGCCGGGCAAGAAUAUUGUCCUUGCAGCUUGUGAAGGAUAUGAAUUGAUAUACCCAAUAAUAGGUGGAUUCUCGCAAGAUCUAGACCUCAUAAUGUAUCCAUGCACAUAAGUUAGUAAAUCCAUGAAACCCAUAUACUUGCUAAAUUUUGCAUACAUUUUUUGGUUUGGAAAGAAAAAAACACGUAACCUUUUCAAAAAAGAAAAAGAAAAAAGAUGCUUUUAAAGCUAUCCCCCACGGACCAAGGGGAUCCAUCCAGAGGCCAGAUCUGACUACUGCUCAUACUUUGCACUGAUUUCAAAUAUUCCGUCAAGCUGUCAAAAUUAGAAAAAAACCCUCAUAAAAUGAUUGCUCUGAACAGGUGAGAGCAGAGUAAGAGUCCAUUUCCAUCAGGGGAAAGAGGACUUCCCUGUGUCAGGGAAAAAUGGACACAGGACCUGUUCCCAGCGCACAAAUUUAACCUAAAAAUCUUUUAUCUCUGCUACACUGUUCUUCUUUGAUACACGUGACAUUUUUCCAGCACUACUACAUCUUCUUCACUGAGGAGUUGUGUAGGCUUUUUGUACUGCACACAUUAUGCUCCCCCACCACCCACCCACACACACACACACACAAAAUAAACCCCGACGGGAAUGGCUACAUGGUUGUACUGAGCAUUUCUAAUUGGACCAGAAUUUAUGUCCAUUAAAUCCUGACAUGAAUGUUACAUGGUUUUACUGACCAUUUCUAAUUUGAAGGUUGUGGGUACACAUGUACUGGAUGGGAUGUGGCAAUCCCCCACAUAAUGCAAAUCACUAAAGGUUAUCUGAAUGCUGAGAAUUAAGGAUAAUUGAUAGGGUGUAUAUUAAACAAGAUUGCAGCUGUAAAUUAUGGAAUGAUAGAUGAUUGAUUGCAGUAAGCAUAGAGAUUGUGCAAAGUCAAAACUUUCUAUUUCUAGGAUUGUCUAAUUCCUUGAUUGUUGUACAUUCUAGAUGGUAAGAUUGUAGAUCUUUUGUCUAUAUAUUUCUGUACAGCAGAUUAGUCCAUAUGAAUGAAAUCAUUCUUUCGUCCAAAAAUACUUUUUGUUUAUGGUAUCAGAGCCAGCAGCACAACUGGUUUGAUUUCCUCCCGUCUGGUUAAGGCGUCUACACUUAUUGGUUCCCUUUUCUUAUGGAGGACAACACCACCUCCUAUGGCAACCCCUCUACCAAUUCUUUGAUCUCUAUAUUCCAUCUCAACCCACUUCUUCCAUCCCCUCGAAUCUUGAUUUCCAUUCCCUUGAAAUCCAACCAACACAGAUUGAAUGGGAUUAAUUUUUGGGAAUGGUUUCAAUCAAUAUUGCUGGUUAUGAGGGCAAAGGAAAGGUAGGUUAUCUCGAUGGUUCACUUCCCAUACCUCCAACAACAACACCUCACUACUCAUCUUGGGAUGCCGAGAAUUCGAUUGUGACAGCAUGGUUCAUCACUUCCAUGGAGCCAAAGAUAGUAAGAACAGACCUAUUUUACAAAAUUGCAAUGGAUAUGUGGACUGCUAUGGAAGAAAUUUAUUUAGACCUAGAAAACACCUCACAAUGCUUUGAGAUUCGAUCUACAAUCAGGACUACUUGACAAGGUACUAUGUCAGUUACGGAAUACUACAAUGUUUUAGCUGAAUUGUGGCAGGAAAUAGAUUUGUUUUAUGACAAACUGGCACUGUUGUGAGGAUGGUGCCAAAUAUGCCAAGAUGCUUUAGAAGGAGCAAGUGUUUAACUUCUUUCAUGGACUCAACAGGGACAUAGAUGAUGUACGCAGCCGGCUCCUAGGCUCUAAAUCCUUUCCUUCUAUUCGUGAGGCCUUUGCUGAAACUAGAAGAGAGGAAAGUUACAAGAAGGAAGUGAUUUGGCUAAAGGAUCUUGACGAUUUGCGUUAUUUUCGAGGUUGGCACGUAAAUUGAGGCGAUACGCGUUUUUUGAGGUAUUCCGAACUUCGUGUUAAAGGGUUUAAGAGUACGAGCCGGGAUCGCUGCUCUACCAAGGGUGCACCCAUAUAUCUCGGUCUGGAAAAGAGGCUGUAAAAAAUGGGGAGUAGCAAUAAGGUACUGUCCGCUCAAACCGAAAUGAAAUGGAAAAGAACAAUUUGAAUACAUGCACGAAAUAUGUUUUGUACCCUUACUUAGAUGAUUCAUCUAACUUGGGUUUUGCCCCUAGAAUAUUCAAAUGUCCAGAUGGAGUUGUAGCAAAUACGAGGAUGAUUGAGGCAUGAAAUGACACUUAGCAAAGUGUAUGAUGAAUUGUAUGUAUGUUAUGUAGUCCUAAGUUCUGCUAUUUCGAAUUCCGAACGUUUGAGGAAUGAUGAUGUAUAACCUUAUUUAUGAUUAUUGAGGAUAUAAGAAUUGGUUUAUGAUUAAUGUUAAGAUGUUAGGUUCGAUUCUAGCUUCCGCAUUUAAUGUGUAUGAUGAUUCUCUUUUGAGAUAGAUGUAUGAAAAUUUUGAGAUGGAUAUGAGGAAUGAUAUGGGUUAGUAUUAGUUUUAAAUAGAAAAAAAAGAUUAUUAUAACAUGCUCGAGAAAGUGGGGUGUUACAGUUGGGAGUAACUCACAACACUCCACUGAUUAUUCCAACUCAACUAGCUCACUACCAAACUCAAAAACACACCGCUACUUGACACAUAUAAACUGAUAACACACAUAACAAGAAAACAUAAGGAUUUAUCCCGAUUCGGUCUUGGAAACAAGACCUACAUCCGGACUACUAGGCACCUCUACAAUCCACUAUCUUGAAACAUCCAUAGGAUGAUUACAAUGAGAAUUGGAAUCGCCCUCGCCCAUAUACACUGAAAGCUAUUAGGAUCCUAGAGAAUAUAAGCUAUUAACCAGCCACUCUCUACCUCUCACACUCAAUCCCAGAAUACAAGACAGGAUCCAUAAACUAUCCUUACCAGAUAUCGGCACACUAAGCUCUACCCUUAGCCCUAUCCCACGACCCCUAUUUAUAAGAUAUAGGAGAGUGGGUUACAAGGUAUAAUGGACUGCCCAACUGAUCGAACUAACUUAAUUGCUCAGCUGCCCCUUCUAGAAGAGAGAUUAAUUCUAACCCUACAACAGAAAUGAACCAUGCAACAAUACAAUAAUACUUGUUUACAUUUAAUCUAAUCUAAUACAAAUAAGACAACAAUAAACUUGCGAAUUGGAAGUCAAAAAAUCAGAGAGACCAAUUUAAGAUGGUCUAUGCUAUUGAAUCCUUAUCUAGAUAUGAAAAGCUUGGUAGUUCUCUUCUAUUUACUAUAGAACAAAUGGAGUUUUUGAAAACAUUAUUUUCCCAAUCCAAGGUCUCUAAGGACCUUGAACCUACAAUCUUUUAUGUUGCGGUCUUAGUUGCUCAACGAGGUAAAUUUCACUUAUCCUUGUUAUCUCAUCGAAAUUCUGAAAAUGUGUGGAUUAUAGAUUUAGGACCUUCAAAUCACCUGACCAGUUGUUCCUCCCUAUUUUCUACCUAUAAGAAGUGUGUUGUGAUAACGCCAAAGUUGCAGUAGUGGAUGGUAGUUUAACUAGUAUAGUUGGUAGAGGAGAUAUUAAACUAUCAAGAUUAACUUUUUUGUAGUUUUGCAUGUUCCUAACAUUAAUUGCAAUAUGAUAUAUGUUGGCAAGUUGACUAGAGAUAUACAUUGUGUAGUUAAGUUCUCCCCUUCUUCAUGUGUUUUUUAGGACUUGUUUUUGGGGAGGAUCAUUGGCAAUGUUGAAGGAAAAAAUGGUCUCUACUUCUUGUCCGGUCCCACUCCUCAUAGAUCCCUUAAUUAUAUUUUUAUGUCCCAGUUCUAUUGUGAUGUCAUGUUGUGGCACAAGCAAUUAGUACAUCCUAGCUUUGUUUACUUGAAAUCCUUGUACCCCAAAUUAUUUGGAAAUAAAGACAUUCGUUCUUUUAAAUGUGAACAUUGUGUUCUUGCCAAACAUAUCUCUCAUCCUUCUCACAUAUAUACACCUUCUAAACCAUUUCAUCUUGUUCACAAUGAUAUUUGGGGAUCAGCUUGAGUUCCAACCUUAAUCGUUACUUGUUGGUUUAUUAUCUUUAUUGAUGAUCACUCAACGGUUUAUCUAAUGAAAGACAAGUUUGAAGCCAGUUCAAUUUUCUUUCGGUUUUAUAAACUUGUACAAAAUUUGUUCCAAUCUUCUAUUCAUAUUCUCAGAUCUGAUAAUGGGAGGGAAUACUUUGGCCCAUAAUUCACCCAAUACUGUUGAAUUAAACUUACCAGUUUAGGCGAGUUUAGAUGAUUUAAUCUCUCACAAAACUCUUCCACACUCUUGAAUUAAUCAGUAAUCAUAUAUUGAACAAUAUAGAAAGUAAAGAAAUCACAAUUCAAGAUAUAAAGUAGAAAGAUCAAACCACGAGACACUGAUUUUAUCUUAGUUUGGAUCGCAAGAAUUGCAACCCUACAUCCAACAGUCAAAACACUCCCUUGAGCAGCUUUCUUAUUCCGUUUGUGCAGUCAGUAUAUAGCCAGUUCCCUCCCUCCUAUUCUCGAGUACAUCAAGCCUUCAUUCCCUCAUGAUUACAAAGUUAUCUGACAAUCACUAGCCUUUCUCUCUUGGAACAACAAUACUCGUUACUAUAGAAAUGAGAACUCUUUUGUGUCUCUCUUGGCUACCCAUAAAUAGAGGGCGAACAUCCCAAUAUAACCGAUUGGGAUAAAACAAUUACAAUUUAACCCCUAAAUAUACACUAAUAACAUUUAGGUAUUGUUUCUAACUGUCCAUUUACACACUGGCCGAUAAAGUCACUGCUGUCUUCACUAAUCUUCUAGGAUGACUUGAGGCAAACAUAUCAACAAAUACCUUUCUGAUCAAGGUAUUUUUCAUCAAAACACUUGCCUUUACACCCCACAACAAAAUGGGGUAGCCAAAAGAAAAAAAAGCAAACACCUUGAAGUUGCUAGGUCCAUGAUGUUUUCUAGCAAUGUUCCUAACUCUUUAUGGGGGAAAGUUGUUUUGACCGUUGUACACCUCAUCAAUAGGCUUCCAUCUAAACCCUUUGAUUUCAAAACCCCGUUGAGCUGUUUGAUGACCAUUUUUCGUCACUUUCGCAUUCUUAAUUCUCUCACCCCAAUGGUUUUUGGCUGCACUACUUUUGUUAAUAUUGUAUCCUUACAUCGCAGUAAACUAGAUCUAAAAAGCCUCAAGUGUGUAUUUGUUGGCUAUUCCCCAACACAGCUAGGGUACAAAUGUCAUUCUCCUAUAGCUAAAUGAUUUUGUGUCUCAUGAUGUUUCCUUUCCUGAACAUUAACCCUACCAUUCCCCUACUUCUAUUCAGGGGGAGAUAUCUACAGAAGAGAAGUAUUGGGGUCCGUCCAUAUCUCUUCCUAUUGUUCUACCUGUUGUUCCUUCUCGAUCUGUUCAACCUAUUGAUUCUUUUAAAUCUGCAUUUGGGAAUGUCCAAGAAUUGUGUGCAGAGGGAGCAGAAAAAUUUGAAUCUAUUAUUGAUCUACCUCAACAUCCUUUAUCUAUUGAUCAGCCUCUUAACGUUUAUUCUAGAAGACCUAAAAUUAUUCUCAAAUCCAAUCGUUCGAACUGAAUUCAGGUUCUAAUUUGGAAGAAACGACACCUAUGGAUGACCUCCUUGAUGUGCCUAUUGUUAAUAAGGGAGUGAGUAAUGUCUUGUACUAAACAUCCUAUCUCAAAUUAUCUUAGUUAUGCUAAAAUAUCUCCAAAGUGUAGGGCAUUCACUGCUUCAGUUGAUAAUGUGGAAAUCCCUACAAAUAUCUAGAAGGCUUUGGAGAAUCAUAAGUGGAAAGAGGGUGUGUUAGAGGAAAUAAAGGUUGGUUGACAAUCAAACUUGGGACAUUGUGGAGCUACCUGAAGACAAGAAAAUAGUUAGCUGCAAGUGGAUAUUUACUGUGAAGUAUAAUGCUAAUGGCAGAAUUGAGAGGUGCAAGGCAAAGUUGGUUGCACAAGGUUUUACACAAACCUAUUGUGUAUACUAUGAAAAGACUUUUUCCCUUGUAGCUAAGUUGAACUCAAUUAGAGUGUUAUUAUCUAUUGCUGCAAAUUUGGAUUGGGAAGUUCAUUAGUUGGACAUAAAGAAUGCCUUCUUGAAUGGAAGGUUGGAAGAAAAAGUUUACAUGCAAAUCCCACCUGGGUUUGUAUUAGCUGAAAAUCUAGGUAAAGUAUGCAAACUGAAGAAAGUCAACUAGGGCAUGGUUUAUAAAAUUUCAGGGCAUGGUAUCAACAAGGACAAGUUGAUCACACCUUGUUUAUCAAGCAAACAAAAAAUAGGAGAAAAUCUAUUCUAAUAGUAUAUUUGGAUAUAAUUCUUACCGGUGAUGACGUUGGAAUUUAAUAGCUAAAUGAGUGUCUAUAAGCUGAGUUUAAAGUUAAAGACCUUGGAACACUUGACUAUUACCUUGGCAUGGGAAUAGUAAGGAGUAGAGGAAAUAUACUCUAGACCUUCAAACUAGGAAAAUAGGUUGUAGACCUGCAAGCACUCAUUUGGAACAAAAUUGGAAAUCAAGGAGCACAAAAACAAAUCAUCUAGUGGAUAAGGCUAGAUACCAAAGAUUGGUAGGUACGUUGAUCUAUCUUUCUCUCAUAAGACCAGAUAUUGCCUUUAGUGUGAGUGUUAUAAGUCAGUUUAUGCAUGCUCCUACACAAAAGGUACAUCAGGUAAGGGUUUAUUGUUCAUAAAAUGUGACAAAUCGAAAAAUUGGAUGCUAUGCUGAUGCAGAUUGGGUAGGAUUAGUGGAAGACAAUAAGUCUAUUAUAGGUUACUUCACCAAGUUAUGGGGUAACCUAGUCACUUGGAGGAGCAAAAAACAGUUAGUGGUGGCUAGAAGCAAUGCCGAAAUAGAAUAUAAAGCAAUUGUUCAAGGAAUAUGUGAAUUAAUUUGGUUGGAAAGACUAUUACAAGACUUAGAGAUUGUUAAAGACGAAAGAGAUACAAAAAUACCUCAAUCAUAGUUAUCAAAGGCGCGCCUAGGCGCAAGGCGCCUUAAGGCGCCAGUUUGGCGCCUCACCUGGGCCUAGGCGAGGCGGUUUUGGCAAGGCCCUCACCUUGCGCGCCUAGGCGCUGGGGCGUGAGGCGCGCCUCAUGAAACUGAGGUCUUCUACUAAAUCUUGCAGCCCAAUCGCGCUUGCCUCUCCUCCCGACUGCAUCCAGCCGCGCUUGCCUCUCCUCUCCAGCUCGCUGCUCGCUCCUUACUCCUCCCGACUAUAGCAUCUGCCGCACUUGCCUCUCCUCUCCAGCUCGCUGCUCGCUUGCCUGAUCUUCCUCUUCCUCUCUAGCCCCAGUCGCGCCUGCCUCCUCUCUUCUCUCCAGCUCGCCCUCGCCCGAUCUUCUUCUUCCUCUCCUCUCUAGCUGCGACCCCCUCCUCUCUUCCUCUCCAGCUCGCCCGAUCUUCCUCUUCCUCUCUAGCCCCAGCCGCGCCUGCCUCCUCUCUUCCUCUUCUCUCCAGCUCGCCCUCGCCCGAUCUUCUUCUUCCUCUCCUCUCCAGCUGUGACCCCCUCCUCUCUUCCUCUCCAGCUCGCUCGAUCUUCCUCUUUCUCUCUAGCCCUAGCCGCGCCUGCCUCCUCUCUUCCUCUCCUCUCCUGCUCGUUGCUUGCUCGAUCUUCCUCUUCCUCUCUAGCCCCAGUCGCGCCUGCCUCCUCUCUUCCUCUCCUCUCCAGCCGCGACCCCUUGAUCUUCCUCUUCCUUUCCUCUCCACUCUCCAGCAGCGCCUGCCUCCUCUCCAGUCUCUGCCCAUGGUCUUCUCCUCUCUUCCUCACCUUUCUUCUCAUCUGCUCUUGAGCUCUUCAAGUUGAAGCUGCUAAGGGCCUAAGGCUGCCCACGUCUUCUCCUAUAUUCAUAAUUUCAUAUUGUAAGUUCUUUACUUGUAUUUUAUUUGUUUAUUUCUUGCAUUUUUGCCUAAUUUAUUUUGCUGGCAGCUGGUUGCUGAAAUUUGCUUUAACUCUUUAUAGUUUAUUUCUAUCAUUAGGAGAAUUUUGUGGAAAUUGGAACUGUGUUGCAACAGCCCAAUAAAUGUCGUCAACCACUUCCAAAACGCACCCGGCAUGGAAUUAUUUUGAAGCUGAUCCUAAUGAUAGAAAUACCACCACAUGUAAAUUUUGUUGUAAAGUAACUUUGAUGUUGUUAGUUUAUAGAAUUUGAAGAUAAUGAAUCAUGAAUGAUAUGAAUGUGUUAUUAUUGAUAAUUUGAUAGUUGUUUAUGAUUUUACAAGAUUUUGAGUUUUUUUCCUAAAAGGUGCGCCUUGCUUCGCAAAGGCACGCCUUUCAGAACUAUGACCUCAAUUGAUUGAAUGUUGGCAAUGAAUUGCCAACAGAGAAGGCAGAGAAUAUAAAUACAAAAUAGAGUAAAGUUAAAGCUCGGAUAACCAAGUCUGAACAUAAUGCCAACAACCCAUACUAUAUAAACCAAUACAAGAAUAGAAUAUAAAAAUCACUAUAUGCUAAUACUCCCCCUCAAGAAGGAUUGUGAAUAUCCAAAACAACCAUCUUGGACAAUAGAUGAGACACUUGAGGAGUUGGUAAAGGCUUGGUAAAUAAGUCGGCGAAUUGAUGUAUAGAACGAAUGGGCAGCAACUUGAAGACACCAGCUUCUAGCUUAUCUUGAACAAAAUGACAAUCCAACUCGAUGUGCUUGGUUCGUUCAUGAAAAAUUGGGUUGGAUGCAAUGUGAAUUGCAGCCUGAUUAUCACAAAAUAAGAGAGCAGGAAUGAUAGGAGAAACUUGCAAAUCGGCAAGAAGCUGAUGUAGCCAUACAGUCUCACUAGUUGUAGCAGCAAGGGCCCGGUACUCGGCCUCUGCAGAAGAACGAGAUACGGUACUUUACUUCUUAGCCCUCCAAGAAAUCAAAGAAUCACCAAGGAAUACGCAAAAGCCAGUGAUAGAACACCUAGUAUCUAGACAAGAGCCCUAAUCAACAUUUGAGAAUGCCUUGAUUUGCAAAGAAGAAGCAGAGAAGAACAAUCCUUGUCUAGGAGAAGUUUUAAGAUAUCUCAAUAAAUGGUGGAUUGCAUCAAGAUGCGGCUUUCUAGGCUUAGAAACAUAUUGGCUAAGCUUAUGAACAACAUAAGUGAUAUUAGGGAGAGAGAUAGUAAGAUAAAGCAAGCGACUAAUUAGUCAUCUAUAGGUAGAGACAUCCUCAACCAAAACACCCUCAGUGGAACUCAAUUUAACAUUGGGAAUCAUAGGAACCAUAGCUGGUUUGCUAGAUAAGAAACCUGUGUCCUCAAGAGGCUGUAAGGUAUAGUGUCGUUGAGACAAGAAAAUACUUUUAGAGGAGUGAGCGAUCUCAAGGCCAUUGAAAUACCUUAGACACCCAAGGUCUUUAAGUUUGAACUGACCAUGAAGAAACCUUUUAAGAGAGGCUAUAAUAGCAACAUCUGAACCUGUGAUAAUGAUGUCAUCAACAUAGACAAGCAAAACCACAAAAGGGGAACCACUACCCUUAGUAAAGAGGGAAUAGUCAAAUUUGGACCGGAGAAAACCAUAUUUAAGCAGGGUAUUAGAAAACUUGGCAAUCCAUUGCUAGGAAGCCUGCUUCAACCCAUAGAUAGAUUUAUGGAGUUUGCACACCAUUCUCUCCCCCUGAGAAGGAGCAGCAACCCUAGGCUGAUGCCCAAGUGGAAGGUCAUAUAUACUUCCUCAAAAAUAUCUCCAUUGAGGAAAGCGUUAUUGACAUUAAGUUGGACAAGAGGCCAAUUAUGAACAAUAGCUAAAACUAAGAGAACCUUGACUGUAACUAGCUUAGCUACUGGGGAAAAAGUGUUAAAAGAAGUCCAAGCCCUCUUGUUGAGUGUACCCCUUAGCCAUUAUACGAGCUUUAUGUCUCUCUAUGGAACCAUCUAACUUAUACUUGAUCUUGUACCCCUUAGCCAUUAUACGAGCUUUAUGUCUCUCUAUGAAACCAUCUAACUUAUACUUGAUCUUAUACACUCACUUCCAUCCAAUAGCAUGCUUGUCCCAAGGCAAAGUAGUGACAGACCAAAUGUUAUUCAAGUGCAUGGAAUCCCUCCUGUGAGCAUAGUGCACUGCAUGAUAAUAGAACUGAGGCUCAAAAUUGGAAGAAACUUUGAGAAGGAAAUGUCUGUGAGAAGGAGAUAAUGUAGAAUAAGAAAUAUAAUGGUCCAAGGGAUAGGAGGAUGUUGUAGGAGGGGCUAGUGUUUGGGUUAACAAAUGACAAUGAAAAUCUUGAAGAUAAGAGGAGGCCUAGUGACCCGAGUGGACCUGCGAAAUGAUGGUUUAGAAACAUUAGUGCCAGGAACAUAAUUGGUAAGAGGCUCAAGCAGAGAAGUAGAGCCAGAUGCAAUUAGAGUAGGGGAAGGCACAUCAAGAUUGGGCUGGGGCAUAACCAAAUCAAGAAAAUGAUCCACAACCUCAUGGGAGGAAACAAUAGCAUGAAAAGGAAAGACACCUUCAUGAAAUACAAUAUCCCGAGAAAUAAGGAACUUCUUGGCGGCUAUAUCAUAGAGUUUGUAGCCUUUCACACCAGGGGGAUAACCAAGAAAUACACAAGCAGUGGCUCUAGGAGAAAAUUUGGAUCUAUAGGAAGGCAAGGUAGAAGCAAAACAAAGACAACUAAACACCCUAAAAGAUGAGUAAUCCACUAGUGAAUGGUAGAGAAACUGAUAAGGAGAUUGGUUUUUCAAAAAAGAAGCAGGAGUCCUAUUUAUUAAGAAUGCUACUGUGAGGAUGCAUUCACCCCAAAAUUGAAUAGCAACUCGAGAUUGGAAAAACAAUGCCAUAGCUACAGUAAGGAGGUGCUGAUGCUUACGUUCUGUCACCGAAUUUUGUUAAGGCCUUUCUACACAAGAAAAUUGAUAAACUACCCUUUUGGCACUAAAGUAAUCAUGAAAAUGCAAUUCAGGUGCAUUGUCUAACCUAAACUUCUUCACCCUUGUAUUAAAUUGUGUCUCAACCAUAGAGAAAUAUUUAGGAAUAAUGUCCCUAGCUUUUGACUUCUGCCUCAUCAAGAAUACCCAAGUAAAACGUGUACAAUCAACUAAUGUAAAAAAAUACUUAUAACCAACAUGAGUAGGCACAUGAUAUGGGCCCCACUUAUCAAAGUGAAUUAAGUCAAAAGCAUGCUGAGAAAGAUGGUUAUUAGAGACUGUUAUUGUUUUGCCCAAGUUGUAGUGUGCUGGAGUUUUGGAAGAAAUCAAGAAGGAAUAGAGGUGAUCGGUGGCAGUUAGUUUGCAGGAUCUAAAUGUAACUAAUUAUAAUUAAUAAGGCUAGUUUAGACUUUAUGUAAGUCGGUUAUUUCCCUUAGAAAGUUCCGCCUCUCUAGUUUAUAAAUAGAAGGGUGUGGAGGCCAGAUAUGAUCAUCAAUCAUUUAUCAUCUCAUUCCCUUGUGUUCAAAUGCAAUGAGAAGCGAGAGAGAGAGAGAGUUGUGAUAAGAUAGUUCUUGUAGUCUUCAUUUAGAGGAUUGUAUUCGAGAGGCAAGAGGAGGCAAGAGAGGGAUAUUCUUGUACUGUAUUUCUACGUUCAUAGUGGAUUGUUCUCUUCUUGGAGUGCUGGAUGUAGUGCCAUGUUUAUGGCAUGAACCAGGGUAAAAUUGGUGUAUUGCAUUGUGGUUUGCUUUCUGUUCUCUUUUCAAUUCUAUUUCUUAUCUGUUUUCUGCUUUAUACUUGACUUGUAUUUGAUUUCGGUGUGAGUAUUGAGUGAUUCUUGAGACAUAUUAGUGCUCGGUUUUAACAGAGACAAAUGACAAUCUCCUUUGCUUAGCUAAGGGACAUAUAGAACAAGGUACAGUUUCAUCAUCCUUAUAUCUCAACAAAGUUUUUAGUUUGUCCAGCUUUUGAAAGAAAACAUGACCAAGCCUACUAUGCCAAGUAUGCUUACUUACAACAUGAGCCACAAUGGCAUUAGAAUUAGAAGUACAAGUCAAAGCACUUACAAGCCUCCGUGAAGACUAACCCUGCCAAUCAUCUUUGAAAGAUAGACAACUUGGAUAUCACAUGAAUUAGAGAAGAUACUGAGGCUUAGAUUAUUCCUUUUCACUAGUGCACUCAUAGAAAUCAAAUUAAACUUGAAUUGAGGCACAUACAAAACAUUUUCUAACACCAUAUAAUCACUUAAUCUCACAAUCCCUAUACAAGUUACAGACAACCGAGAUUGGUCUAGGAGAGUAGCAAAGACAUCCUUAACAGGUCUCAGCUCAUGAAAGUAGGAUUUACUAAAGCAAACAUGGCUUGUAGCUCCUGAAUCUAUUAUCCAAUACUUUGAAUGACCAAGUAAGGGACUAAUCGAAACUGAAAAACAUAUACUUGAUGGGAGCAUUAGAUUCUGCCCUAGCCUUUGCUGCACCAAGGUGUGAUUAUGCAACAUACUCAAUAGCUAUUGAUACUGUGUAGGGCUCAAGGAUUGCAUGAAUUCCCCCAUGCCUUGAGUACUUGUAGUACCCUCAAAGACUUGACUCGCAAUAUUGGAGCUUAAGUGAUUAGUAGAAUUCAAGAGAUUAAGUCCAUUAGGAUUCUUCUGUUUAACCUUUUACCCUAGGGGAUAGCCAUGUAGUUUAUAGCAUUUCUCAGUAGUAUGACCAUGAUAUCCACAGUGUGUGCAUAUCGGCCUGCCUAUCUCUUUUCUAAAACCUAUCGAGGCUAGUCUUAUUCAUGCCAUGCUUAACAUUGAACAGAACAAGAUCUCCCGUAUUGACCACCACAUUUCGUUGUUUUUCCUCUUGCGAGAUUAAGGCAAAAACUUUGUUAAUGGGGGGAAGAGGUUCUAUCAAUAACAACUGACCUCUCACUUGAGCAAAAGAAUCAUUUAACCCCAUUAAAAAUGACAUGACAUAUUCCAUUUGGUGGUGGUCUGCAAGAGCCCUAAUACCACCACAAGUACAACUGCCACAAUUACAUGUAGGCCUAAAUUUCCAAGUUCAUCCCAAAUAGUCUUAAGCUUGGUAAAAUAUGCAUUUAUAGACAAAGAACCUUGAGUAAGGUUCAUCAAUUCUCACCUCAAUUGGAAGAUCCUAGGGCCAUUGCUUUGCUAAUAGCGUUCCUUGAGUUCAAUCCAUAUGUCUCAUGCUGAUUCAAAGUAAAUGACACUGGUUGAGAUCUUUUUAGACACAUAAUUAAAAAUCUAUGAAAUAACCAUGUUAUUAUUUCUAAUCUAAGCAUUGAGAAGGAAAUCAUCACCUGAAAGAUGCUAGAUCGAGCCAUCUAUAAACCCUUACUUGUUCUUGACAGAUAAGGCGAUCAUCAUUGAAUGGCUCCAAGAGGCGUAAUUAUCCCCUGUCAAUGACUAAGAGACCAAAAGAAGGCCUGGACUAUCAGAAUGAUGCAAAAAGAAGGGACUUGAUCCAUCGUUGACUUCGGUAUUGCUCAUCGACCAUGUUAUACCUAGGGUCGCUGGAACUACUUUUUUGGAUAGGAAUUCUAUCACACAUGAUCUCACACACUCACGGAUUAGAUCUUAGGAACAUAUUUAAUAGAAUCAACAGAAAAUAUAAACAGAAACACAAUUAAAACAAACAAGAAACACAAACCACACAUCCACAAGGACACUGAGAUUAUCUUGGUUCAUGUCAAUUGAAUUGGCACUAUAUUCAGCCUUAAGAACCCUCCAAGAGCAGCCUUCUUUGAUUCAUAAAGAAUGAUCGAACAUCAGUUGCACCCCCUCGAUUACAAGCCUUCUCUCAAGAUUACAAAAGCUAUUCUAAAACACAACUUCCCCUCUCUCAAAGCUUUCUCGAGAAACAACUGAAAUUAUAUGCGCCUAAUGCCUAGCCCUCCUCCUUAUUUAUAGAAUAUAUAAGGCGGCAAUUCCUAGGCUUUUAAACAACUGGAUAUUACUGGUUUUACCCCUCCACUAAUAACUAAUAUUACAAGCAGGGACCCGCCUAUUUAUACCCUCUAAUUUUGAUGCAUUCUUACUGCCUAUAUUCUGGAUUUUUUUUCAAGACAACAUUCUAACAGACGAGGAGGAUAAAUUCAGAUUUACUGUCGCCAUUGAACAAAAAUGGGCGAACUGAUAGAAAGAGGAAUGGCACGCUUCGAACAAAGAAGCGUGCUGUGCGAUCCGUUCGCUCACUGAGAACCUACCGGCAAGAUCAAAACGAGACAGCGGAAAAGAUGAGAGCUUAGUGCUCUGUUACCAUGUUAAAGACAAGAGAUACAAAAAUACCUCAAUUGAUUGAAUGAAUGGCCAACAGAAAUUAGCUAUCAGUAUAGUUCACAAUCCAAUUCAAUGUGAUAGGAUGAAACAUGUAAGGAUUGACAGAAAUUUCAUCAAAACUGAAAUUUAAAAAGCAGCAGUUCCCUCUCAUACAUUCCUACUCAAGUUCAAGAGGCUGAUAUCCUAACUAAUGUAAUGUUGAAAUCAGGUUUUGAAGUAUUGAUUAGCAAGUUAGGAAUAAUUGAUAUCUAUUCACCAGCUUUUGGGGGAGUGUUGAAAUGCCAGGAAUUAAGGAUAAUUGAUAUGGUGUAUAUUAAACAAGAUUGCUGCUGUAAAUUGUGGAUUGAUAGAUGUAAUUAUAGGGAUUGUUCAAAGUCAAAACUUUCUAUUUCUAGGAUUGUUGUACAUUCUAGAUGGUACGAUUGUAGAUCUUUUGUCUAUAUAUUUCUGUACAGAAAAUUAGUUUGUCUGAAUGAAAGCAUUCUUUCAUCCAAAAAUACUUUCUGUUCACAAGGUGAUUUGGAUAACCAAGCAUAAUCCAUGUCUUGAGGUAGCUCAAAUAGUUUCCUACUUUCUUGAACCUAGAAAUGGGUCAAUCAUUCUUGGAUAAUCUGUUUGACAAAAUUCACACAAUGCACUAGAGAUCAGCUCUAUACACAAAAACUCCCAACCAAGUUUGCUCAAGGCCAACAUUAAUCAAUCUUUGGAGGGCAUUCUUCAUUGGAUCAGGCUGCAGCAGGUCCAGGAAUCCCAUCCCUGGGAUAGUGACACACUUGUGAGUUGGAGAUAGAGAUCAAAGUUUCAUCAAGGGCCAUGGCACUUGGUCCUCUAUCUAAUGUAUCCUCUGAUUCCUCACCAUCACCAGUUGGAAGAGAUAAAGAUAGAGCCCAGAAACAGGGAGGUAGAUAAUGAACUUAUAUGCAAAAUGGUAGCCUAGCUCAAAGCACCUCCUACCACUUAUGGCAUAUGAGGGUACAGUGUGACCACAUGACACUGAGUUUGAUGCCUUUGCUGAAACCUCAUAGCAGUUUGUGAAGUCUAAUUUUGUCCUUUUUGGAAUUGCCACACAUUCACCAUGAUAUCCUGAUCAUAGUUACACUUACAUUUUGCAUGUAUUGAUACUUCAUUUAACAUCUAUGCCAUAAAAAUAGGGGAAGAUAUGUGAUCUGGGAAUUAAGGGGCAAACAGUUUCAUGGUUUUGUUGGCGGACACCUUGCUAAGGGACAUUUACCCAGUGCCUUCUUUAGUUGAUUCCCUUUGAUGGAAGGGGUCUUUGGGAGAUUCUGAUAUCAUUUGUAUUUAUUCUAAUGUAUUUCAAGGACAAGCAUGGAUUGAUGCAUUUGCCAGGAAUAAUAUCCCUGCAUAGCUGUGGCUUGUAGGUGAUUGCAGAUAUUAAGGGUUUAAUCUAUAUGGUUAGGUCUAAUAUGACCCUUCAUUGGGGAGGUUCCUCAUUACCAAAAUCAUGUGGAAGUGCCAAAUUGAGCACUAUUUCCUAGUAAUUUGCAUUUGCUUUUGUCCACAAAAGUAGUAGUUUUAUACAGUUGAGAAGUCUCAUCUCCUUAGCUCUUUUCCAUGGAUGUUGGCAUCAGAGUUACUUUUCUAGAAGGCUUAUGAUAUUAUCUAGAAACUAUAAAUAUUGUGUGCGAGCAAAUCCGAGAUAGAACUCCAACAUGAAAUGCCAGUUUGACAGGUGGAUGGAUCCUCCUCUUUAUAUAUAGCCUAGGUCUCCCUUGCUGAGGCGAUGUGGGAUUUUCACACACAUCCCCCCCCCCCUUCCCUUUUCAACGUCGAAGCAUCUUCCAGUACCUGGUACAUGCCUGUAUAAGACGGCAACAUGACCGUAUAUGAUGGCAGGGUAGGGUCGGCUCUGAUACCAUGUGAACAAGUCAGAGGUAGAAUUUCAACUUGAAAAGCCAGCUUGACAGGUAGAGGGAUCCUCCUCCUUAUAUAUAACCCAGAUCUCCCUUGCUGAGGCGAUUCUCACAAUGGUUGCAACUGACUUGGCCUCGAUGGCGAAUAGGUUAAUGAUGUGACCUGGAAUUGUGAAGGGGUUUGAUAUUGAUGCUUAUCUAUCUGUUUAUUAAGCAGCUUGUUCCCUGGAAACAUUUUUAGUUGGUGAAUGACUUGUAAAAGUUCCAUUUUCUUCCC